GAUCAGUUUCCUUUCCGCUUCCUUUCUCUUCCUCUCCGGUCUUUCCUGUGCCAGGCUCUGGGCAGCUGCUGGAAGCCAAGGCAUAUCCAUCAACACUCCUGCUUCAUGGGAGGAGAGAGACGAAGCCAGCAACAGAUCGGCCUAUUCAACUCAGCAUCAGGAGAGAACAGAAACCACCUGGGGAGUGGGGUCUCCAACCGUGUCGGGCGAGGACUCAGAGUUGGCAGCAGUCACUGCCAAAGGCAGGAGGAGAUAACCAGUUAGCAGGCCUGUCACAAGAUCAGCAACGCAUGAAAGACAAAAUGCUUCCCUGCGGCAGGAAGAGCCGACGCUUCCCUGCGGCAGGAAGAGCCGAUGACACACUGCACUUAAAGUAUUCCUCCAAGCCCCACCUCAUUCUUCCCAGAUCCUCUAGCCUUGGAGCACAGCCUCCAACUCUUCACUGAGCAUUUUCAGGAGUACAAUCUCAGGCGACUACCCCAAUCCUGCAAGAGAGGCUGCCUGCCCCCCUUUGACAGAUGAGGAAACUGAGGCCCACAGUGGGGAAAUGGAUGGCAGGAACUUGAACUGCAGAGAAGAGGCAGACUGAGUUUUCAAGUCUCAAAAGAACCUAUGUCUGGACUCUUAAAACAACUCUACAGAUGCCUGGAGCAGAGAGUUUUAAAAAUUAGCUCCAAAGCUAACCUCAUAUACAGGCAUGGGGACCCGUGGAGAGAGUACUCUUCUCUUCCUCUCCAAUGUUCCUGUCCCCAACCAGACCAUAAAAUCUUGAGGGCAGGGGCCAUGGCUGAAACUUCUGUUCUCUCCCACAAUACUUAGAACAGUACACAGAGUGUUUGCUCUAUGCGGAUUAAACAGAGCAGAUGCUUGCUGUAUGUGGAAUUUUUGUGUGUGUGUGUGAGACAGACUCUCACUCUGUCGCCCAGGCUGGAGUGCAAUGGUGCAGUCUCGGGCUCACUGCAACCUCUGCCUCCUGGGUUCAAGCGAUUCUUCUGUCUCAGCCUCCCGAGUAGCUGCGAUUACAGCUGCCCGCCACCACCCCCAGCUAAUUUUUGUAUUUUUAGUAGAGACAAGGUUUCACUAUGUUGGCCAGGCUGGUCUUGAACUCCUGACCUCAGGUGAUCCACCCACCCUGGCCUCUCAACGUGCUGGGAUUACAGGCGUGAGCCACCUCGCCCAGCCUCUAUGUGAAUUAAAUGCAAAUCGUUUGGAAUACUAUGCAGUCAUAUAAAAG
Molecule: long non-coding RNA, 1234 nt
Filed under: Homo sapiens (human)
Lineage: Eukaryota; Metazoa; Chordata; Mammalia; Primates; Hominidae
Description: HSALNT0155200
Source: RNAcentral